RNAcentral lists this unclassified non-coding RNA (1703 nucleotides) under uncultured fungus. RNAcentral describes it as "sequence contains 18S rRNA gene, ITS1, 5.8S rRNA gene, ITS2, 28S rRNA gene". The stretch from base 658 to 1703 matches the Rfam family "Eukaryotic large subunit ribosomal RNA", at positions 1 to 961 of the family's 3401-position model. The record is from RNAcentral. Lineage: Eukaryota; Fungi.
GGUUGGAUCAUUACAGAAAAGAUCUGGCCUUUGGCCGUUUGUCGAGCAGACCAUCCCCCUUUCCGGGUGAUGUUUCUGUAAAGACAUUCACAAACAUCUUGUGAAUCGUGUUGUCUCUGGCGGCUGGGCAGAAGGUGGCAAUCUGUCACACUCCUGUCUGUCAGCCUGAUGUAACAGUCAGGCCGUGGACACGCCGCCAAAUGCUUGCAUAAACCUUAGUCUUUAUGUUUUGUCUAACAUUAUAUUGUAUUGAAUGAUACAAACAACUUUUGGCAACGGAUCUCUUGGCUCUCGCAACGAUGAAGAACGCAGCGAAAUGCGAUAAGUAGUGUGAAUUGCAGAAUUCAGUGAAUCAUCGAAUCUUUGAACGCACAUUGCGCUUCCUGGUAUUCCGGGGAGCAUGCCCGUUUCAGAAUCAUUAAAACCCUCACCCUACCUGGGCUUUUGGCCUGGUUAUAGUGGAUGUUGGAUGUUUUGUGCAAUAACUGUACAAUCAUCUGGAAAUGAUGGUGUGUGCUCCAGCUCUAGUCAGUUGGCCAACAAAGUGCAACAGAUGAAAGUCUCGAAACACAUUGUAGUCAAUGAACUGGAUCUGACUGUAGACAUUCCGUGACAACCAGUUUUCCAUGUCAGACAUGUCCUGGAAGCUGUUAAACUUGGUCUGAAAUCGGGCAAGAAAACCCGCUGAACUUAAGCAUAUCAAUAAGCGGAGGAAAAGAAACUAACAAGGAUUCCCCUAGUAACGGCGAGUGAAGCGGGAACAGCUCAAAUUUGAAAUCUCACAGGGUUGCCUGUGCGAAUUGUAGUUUAGAGAAGCGUUUUCGGGGGUGACUUGGGUAUAAGUCCUCUGGAAUGGGGCAUCAUAGAAGGUGAGAAUCCUGUUUAUGAUCCAAUGUUCACUCCUAUGUGAUACGCUUUCCAAGAGUCAGGUAGUUUGGGAUUGCUGCCUAAAAUGGGUGGUAAAUACCAUCUAAAGCUAAAUAUUGGCGAGAGACCGAUAGCGAACAAGUACCGUGAGGGAAAGAUGAAAAGAACUUUGAAAAGAGAGUUAAACAGUACGUGAAAUUGCCAAAAGGGAAACGCUUGGAACCAGUAUUGCCUGCACGUAAUCAGCCGCACGGCCCGAAAGGGUUAUUGCGGUGCACUUGCGUGCAGGCAGGUCAACAUCAGUUUGGUUUUGGGUAAAAAGCCAAAGGAAGGUAGCUUGGUGCUUCGGUGCUGAGUGUUAUAGCCUUUGGUCAUGCCUGGGACUGGACUGAGGUCUGCAGCAUUUUUUGGGUACCUGAUCGCCUCCUGAACCUUUCUUCUAGACAGCACGCUGACUAGGAGCCAGGCUAGGGAGCCCGGUCAGUUUAUCACACCAAUGCUUAGGAUGUUGACGAAAUGGUUCUAAACGACCCGUCUUGAAACACGGACCAAGGAGUCUAACAUAUAUGCGAGUAUUUGGGUGGUAAACCCUUAUGCGAAAUGAAAGUGAACUUAGGUGGGAUCUUCGGUGCACCAUCGACCGGUCUGGAUUUUUUUGAUAGAUCUGAGUAAGAGCAUAUCUGUUGGGACCCGAAAGAUGGUGAACUAUGCCUGAAUAGGGUGAAGCCAGAGGAAACUCUGGUGGAGGCUCGUAGCGAUUCUGACGUGCAAAUCGAUCGUCAAAUUUGGGUAUAGGGGCGAAAGACUAAUCGAACCAUCUAGUAGCUGGUUCCCUC